GUGACUGAGUGGCGGACGGGUGAGUAACGCGUGGGUAACCUGCCCUAUACAGGGGGAUAACAGUUGGAAACGGCUGCUAAUACCGCAUAAGCGCACAGCCUCGCAUGAAGCAGUGUGAAAAACUCCGGUGGUAUAGGAUGGACCCGCGUCUGAUUAGGUAGUUGGUGGGGUAACGGCCUACCAAGCCGACGAUCAGUAGCCGACCUGAGAGGGUGACCGGCCACAUUGGGACUGAGACACGGCCCAAACUCCUACGGGAGGCAGCAGUGGGGGAUAUUGCACAAUGGGGGAAACCCUGAUGCAGCGACGCCGCGUGAGCGAAGAAGUAUUUCGGUAUGUAAAGCUCUAUCAGCAGGGAAGAAGAAAUGACGGUACCUGACUAAGAAGCUCCGGCUAAAUACGUGCCAGCAGCCGCGGUAAUACGUAUGGAGCAAGCGUUAUCCGGAUUUACUGGGUGUAAAGGGAGCGUAGGCGGCGAGAUAAGUCUGAUGUGAAAGCCCGGGGCUCAACCCCGGGACUGCAUUGGAAACUGUCUUGCUGGAGUGUCGGAGGGGUAAGUGGAAUUCCUAGUGUAGCGGUGAAAUGCGUAGAUAUUAGGAGGAACACCGGUGGCGAAGGCGGCUUACUGGACGAUCACUGACGCUGAGGCUCGAAAGCGUGGGGAGCAAACAGGAUUAGAUACCCUGGUAGUCCACGCUGUAAACGAUGAAUACUAGGUGUUGGUGCCCACAGGGCAUCGGUGCCGCAGCAAACGCAAUAAGUAUUCCACCUGGGGAGUACGUUCGCAAGAAUGAAACUCAAAGGAAUUGACGGGGACCCCCCACAAGCGGUGGAGCAUGUGGUUUAAUUC
This 850-nucleotide ribosomal RNA is filed under the name uncultured bacterium. RNAcentral describes it as "bacterial SSU rRNA". It matches the Rfam family "Bacterial small subunit ribosomal RNA", at positions 87 to 952 of the family's 1533-position model. The record is from RNAcentral.